AUGUCUCAGUGCAGAAGGAAUUUAGCAAGAGGCAAAGUGAUAGGUAAGAAGCAGAUUUGUUGAGAGAUAAGACAAAGUGUGGUCAGUCUCAAAAGGCAAGAUAGUGGCCCUGGGAGAAACACACACCACAGACAGAGGUGGGCCAUUUCAGAAGGCUUACAGGGAUGAAAAUCUGUUAGAUGACAUGCAACCUGCCCUUUCAAUACUCCUCAAGGACUCUGGGGAUUUCCAGCCAUCUGGAAUUUGCUGUCAUGCUGUGAUUUCUGCAGAGUUUAUACAUCAUUGCCAUGUUUUGGGGAAAGAAAGAGUUCUUGAAAUGAGAAGAUACUCGAUCAUCUUCACUUCCGGGCUAAUCAUUCUUCCACUAAACCUUCUUCAGUUGUGAGAUACAACACUAGAGUGUUAUAUUCCUGGGACAUUCUCCUUUCAAGAGAAAGGCAUACAUCUGCAUUUUUUUGUGGUUGUUUUUAGGGCUGCACCCAUAGCAUACAGAAGUUCCCAGGCUAGGAGACGAAUGGGAGCUGUAAACACUGGCCUACACCACGGCCACAGCAAUGAAGGAUCCGAGCUGCAUCUGUGACCUACACAACAGCUCACAGCAAUGCCAGAUCCUCAACCCACAGAGUGAGGCCAGGAGUUGAACCCUCAUCCUCAUGGAUCCUAGUUGGUUUCAUUAACCAUUGAGUCAUGAAGGGAACUCCCAACGUCUGCAUUUUUAAUGUGACUCAAUGGUUAGGUUGGGUUUUUUCUUCUGUGUGUCUCCAGGGUUAGAUGGAAGGGCUUCCCUCCUUCCUCUAACUUUGCUUUUGCUAUGAGGCUCAGACAUUUAUUUUCUGACAUCUUCUCUAGAUUGUUUUUCUUUUGCGUUCACUCUGAGUAAGAAAUAUGAGUUCAGUCACUGCUAAGUGAGGAAAACAUAGCUGCUGUUCAAAAUUAAUCUUGUCUUCAUUUUACUUCCCUGGGUUGUACAAUAGCACUCAGGAGGUGUUUCUAAUGAGGCUAACGAGAAAUCCAAGCAACUGUUCAAUCUAUCAUGGCCCUGCCAAAUAUUUCGAUAUAUCUUAUACUCCAUAUUCAAUGUAUAUCACUUUCCUUAAAAUUCUGUUUUUAAAAUUUAUACUGUGUGCUCCCUGGGGACCCAGGCAAUACCUGCAACUCUAACCACAGUAAUGGUGUUGUGUGAAACAUAACAAAAAGUGAAAGUACUUGAAUACUUUUCUUUGAUAUCCCUAUUUUUGGCUACUUAAAUAUUUGUCCGUCUUUUACGAAACCACUUUGCAAAUUUGUUUUCUGUUCAAGGGCUUGUUCCCCAAUCACCCUCAUUACAGACUCUGUGCAUUAACAAUAUGACUGCAAACACCUUAUUGGAUCUGUGAUCCCCCUGGACAAAUCACUUCAUCCUCUCUUUAUUUUUCUUUAGGAAAUGAUUACUGUCCUAGCUCCAGUAAUAUCUAAAACAUUCUUUCUUUUGAAAUUUUCUCUUCAAAAGAAACUAGGCUCAGGCUGAUUUCUUUGUCUCUUCCUAUAGUUUUAUAAGCUCGCUAACAUCUCCUAAGGAGUUUGCUCUCUUCUUCCAGUUUAACAAGCUUGUUUUCUUUUAUAAUUCUUUUAUACUGUUUCACACUUCUCCCAUUUUGCACAUAAAAUGAAAGAAGCAUGUCUUGAAAGCAAAUUCAAUUAUUCUUUGAUUUCGUAAUGAAAAUCUGCUUUGUGGAAAGGAGGUCUACCAGGCACAUAUGUUUCAAAUUCUCUUAUAGCUUUGGUUUGUAAUAACUGCAAGACUUUUUCUUAUUUCUUUACUGUAUUCAAGAAGAUGGCAUGUUCUCUUCAUAAUUAGGACUCCUCUUCUUUUCUCAUGUUUUCAUUUUUUAAACUCUACCAUUGUAAGUGGUAGUCACUUCUAUGUCUCUGAAAUCUAAACUCAAGGGUAAAGUUUAACUGAUUAAUACACUGAGAGCCAACUGAGCUCCAUGUGAUAGACAGCAAAUAUUUAGUCAUGGACCAGCUACGUGAAUCGCACACUUCAGCCCACAGAGUUUAAUUUCCUUACUUGGCUGUGAAUGGAAUAAAAACAGAAAAAAAAAAGUUAAAUUUAGACAAUGAACCUAAUGCCUCUUAUUAAUCAUAGCACCUUUUAUUUAGAGGCAUGGGCAUUACUAACUCUUAGCACUUUCUAUUUCAAGGCAUAAAUCCAUGCAGAAUUCAGGGUGUCUAGAGUCCUGGCCUUCUACCUGGCUGAAGAAUGCAAUAAAAACAGCAAAAAUGAUUCUCCUUACCAACAUAUAAAAAGCCUGAGGCCAAAAAAAUAGAAAUUAACUAGAGUUUGGGAAAGCUAAAUAUAGGAGUGUGUUAGCAUCAGAGAAAUGGCAUGAGCUAAGUGGCUGAGUGUGAAGAAGCUUAAUUUGUCCAACAACACGGUGUAACUGCACUGUGGGCUCCAUGUGAGGGAGUCAGGGAGGGAAAGGAUAGAAGACAGCAGAGAAAACAUCCCAAGGGUUUAUAAAUCACAUUAAAGAAUCUGUUCUUUGCUCCAAUACUAAUGGAUUGGCUACUGAAUUAUUUUAAACAAGGAAGGUACAUAAACUGCUCAUUUUAGAAAGAUCACUCAUGCUGCAUCAUGAGAAUUCAAUACAUGAAAAUUUCAUGAAGGAAAUAUCAGAGUCACCCAAGCAGGAGAUGCCUGUGGUCAGUUCUCUAGAACAUACAGUCAAGAUGGAAAAUAAGUGAAUGUAUUGGGGAGAUGUUAAGUAAAUAUCAUCUGAGAAAGGAUUGAGAAAGUGCUGGCCAAUCACAGCACUCAAUCACACCGUAAUCUAAUUCUUUCACAUCCUGUGUCCCUCACUAAAUUGAGUGCUAUAUGAUAGUAAAGGAGCAGGGAGCAAAGAACAAUUUUGCUUGACUAAAAUUUUAAA
This 2912-nucleotide long non-coding RNA is filed under the name Sus scrofa (pig). RNAcentral's name for it is "lncRNA (ENSSSCG00065008173.1)". The record is from RNAcentral. Lineage: Eukaryota; Metazoa; Chordata; Mammalia; Artiodactyla; Suidae.